GUUGAUGUAGUUCAGUGGUUAAAGUGUUUACCUAGCAUGGACAAGGCUCUGUGUUUCAUUCCCAGCAUCAAAA
Molecule: transfer RNA, 73 nt
Filed under: Marmota monax (woodchuck)
Lineage: Eukaryota; Metazoa; Chordata; Mammalia; Rodentia; Sciuridae
Description: tRNA.Ala
Source: RNAcentral